GCAGCCUGCCGGGUUGGGAGGGCAUUAGGCGUCCCUGUGCUCCAUAUAACUAAUGCGAUUACAGAAGUCAUCGCGUCGGGGGUGAGUCCUUGUUCGGAAGAGCUGCGAAAGAUCGUGGAUGAAAACUAUAACAAGUUACUCUUGGAUUCUGAAAAUAAUCGAUCGAGGAAACUGCGGGCUGAGGCCGAUGGAUCAAACGGGUCAGCAGGUGAGAUUGACUCUCCCUUGAGCAAAAUCAAUUCGUUGGACGAGACCGACUCUGACAAGACUGACGCGAAUAGAAACGAGAGUACGAAUAUCGAUGGAG
RNAcentral lists this unclassified non-coding RNA (307 nucleotides) under Athalia rosae (coleseed sawfly). Its description in RNAcentral is "misc RNA ENSAEAG00005002451.1". The record is from RNAcentral. Lineage: Eukaryota; Metazoa; Arthropoda; Insecta; Hymenoptera; Athaliidae.